GGUUCGUCUGCGGGGCAGAAGCACAGGCGUUAGCGGCCGCGCUGCAGUUUCCGCGCUCCUGCAACCUCGCUCCACCCGGGACGAGAGCAGGCCGCCAGGGCCGCUGCUUCGGGUGUCCCCACACAGCGUGUCCCCCACCCCACUGCCGAGAGGGCAGCCGCGCAUCCCUCACCGGCCUCACUCCACCCGUUCUGCCCCACAUUGGUGGCUCAGGGCGGUCACCGAAGCCGUCCCACUCCCACCCCCCGAAUUUCCUGGGGCGGGGGCGGGGGGCCAUCAGGUCAGGCCGUCCUGUGUGGACAUCUGUCCUGAUAGCUCUUGAACAACAGUGGUUCUCAAACUAGUUGACAUCUGAAUCACCUGGGGUAGUCGUGAAACAUACAGAUUACCCGGUGGCCAGACCCAGAGAUUUCUGUAGUAGAGCAAGGCCUAAGGAUUUCUCGGCUAUUUACUUAUUCAUUCCCUGUUUUCAUCUCCAGGGCUUUACCAGUACAGGCUGAUUUUUUUUUUUUUUUCUGGAGAGAGAGAGAGAGAGACAGACAGACAGACAGAGACAGAGACAGAGAGAGACUGACUCUACAGCAUUGAAGUUUAGUUCAACGUGUUAGACACUUGACUCCAGCCUGGGCCACUUACAUGGCAAGGCAACACACUAAGUGAGCUAUUUUGCACACCCUUCUCUGUAUUUUAAACAAGGCUCCCAGAUGAUUCUGGAGAUGGUUCAAGAACCAAACUUUGAGAAACACUGGUAUGAAUUAAUCUGGAAGAAGUUGGGAGAAUGACCAUCUCAACCAUUAGGUGUCACUCAAAGCAAAAUUUUAAGCUACCAACAGAUGUUCUUAAGAAUUUGGAUAAAUUCACCUAAUAAUAUUCAUUGUUGUUUUGUAGACAUCUUUGUUCUUAAUUCUUUUCAGUCGUUAAGAUUAUAGAAGGGCCAGAAAGAAAAUAGUCUUAGUUUCAACACUUAUUUGGGGUUUAAGAUCUCUUUACUUAAAAAAAAAAGAUUUAACACACUUUACAAAAAGUACAUAAAAGAGAAUGACAAAACUAAGAAAUGGAUUGUUUAAAGCAAUGACUUGUCAGAAGCCAAGUAUAAGGAUGUGUUAGGAAUCUGAGAUGAAUUAGUUACUACUAUGAUCACUAAUAUUACUCUUGACUUUAUCUUUGUUAAAGCAAAAUUAAAGCAGGGGAAUCCAAUAUAGUGAACCCUCAGAUUUUUAAGGAGUGUUCCAAGGACUUCAGAAUCCUCAAAUUUGGGCAUAUACCCGAGGGUGUAAAUUUUUUCCCAUAGAAUUAAACCCACACUAAUAUCUGAACAGAGAAAGUUCCUCUCUAAGAUUCUGUUCCACACAUUAACCUCAGAACAUCUGAUCCAAAUUCUUGCCUCUGUAAAAGGUUAUCAGAGGUCCUCAGGCAUUCAUAACCUGUGGAUAUCAAGGGUCUUCUGCUUUAUUUAAAAGUUGAAUAUUUUAUCAAGUACUUUUGAUGCUAAUUUAUAGAGAUAAGGAAAGAGGGCAAGUGGGAUUGAUCAAUAAUUCUAGUUAUGUGUACAAUAACACAUCAAUUAUAUAAAAGUUUCUCAUUGAAAUGAAGUUUAAGUGGAGUGCUUAGAACACAAUAUUCUCUCUCUUCUCUCCAUAGACUGAUACUUAUUAUCAUAUUCAAAUAAUGAGAAAAAAAUCGGAGAGACAAGCAUAAGAAAACUUGAAAUCUAAUCUUGCUUCUGGCAUUUACCAGUGAUGUGAUUUUGGAUGAGCUACUCAAUUUCUCUGACCUUUUACAUCAUGGAGAUAAAAUGUCUGCCUCGUGGUCUUAUUCAAGGGGAAGAGAACCUUGUGGUCUUGAUGGAAUUGGAGUUCAGAGCCCUCUAGUCAUCUUCCCCUAACAUUUCUCCCCCUCUGGGAAUAUGGACCAAAAUUCUUUUUGGAAUGCAGAAGCCCUUGGAUCUUACUAUCAUGGUGGAAGAGACAGAAAAUUACUAGACAAGUAGGUAACAGAAUUCCUGGGUCAAUACAGCUAGGGAAUGUAAGGUAAGGCAAAGAGAUGGGGAGUGACACGGAAUGCUCUUACAGACACAGUGUUUAUGAAGGAAGGGCUUGUAUGAUGAGGUGACACUAAACAGUGAUGUGAAUGAGAGGAGAGGAUGGUGUGGACAUCUAGGGUAGGAGCACUUUAGGCAAAGAAUGAAAUAAGUGUUGAGAGAGAUCUUGAUAUGAUGGAGAAAUGGUAUGUUGGAUUACGAGGAAGAACGGGAUACAUAUGAGAUCAUAUGAGUCUCAGCAAGGAGUUUUGACUUGAUCUUAAGUGCAGUGGAUGUGAUUGUAUGGUCUCAAAUUGUAGAAUGGUAUAUUAAUAGGCCAACAAUGACAGCUAUGUGCAUAACACACCAUAGGUGGAACCAGGAAACUUUUUUUUUUUUUUACCACUAUUGUGGUAAUGAAGAUACUAAAUGAUGGUGGUUUAGACUAAGGGAGUGAUGGAAGUAGUGAGCAGAGGCUAGAUUCAGGAGAUGUUUUAAAGAUAGACUAGAUUGGACCUCCUGAGGGGACUGUCUUUAGGGGAUGAGGAAAAGAGAAUAGCCAAGGUUUCUUUUUACAUUUAUUAAUUAGAAAAUAUAGUGACCUUUAUGAAUGCCUGGGCUACCACUGGAACUCACAUAUGUAAAAGGCAUGCUUUCCAGGAACUCACAGUUUACAAAUUCAGAUUUUUAGACCCCUAUAGGCAAAUAUAGAAGCUGUGAAGUGGGAAGGGUAGAAUAGUCUGGUCAGUAUUUGAAGCUUUAGUUGUAGUAUGAAGGUAGAAUAAGAAUUACUAGAUGCAGAAAGGCAUGUGUGUGUGGGAGGGGUGGGGAGUGUAUUCCAGAAAGUAGACCAGCAAACACAUAGCUCAGCAGUUUUUUUUUUUUUUUUUUUUUUUUUUUUUGGGAGUGGUAAGUAGUGCCUGGGGUACUGAUGCAAUAAAAGCCUGGACAGUCAGGUUGGGGAGAUUCCUGGGAUCAACUAGGGAGUGAGAACUUCACUCCAGAGAGAGUAGUGAUGACUGGGUAUAUAGUUCAGUGGUUGUGGAGCCCCAAACAAAAACAAGUCAGACACAGUGGUGAGCUAAUGAACUUUUUAGGCAGGAGAGAGACAGUGAUAGACUCUUCUUACCUAAUAGAUGAGUCAAUUCACUGACUGUGAGAAACCAGUGACAUUUGCCCAAAAACGUUAAAUACAUAUUAUCUCAAUUGGCUGACCACAUUGUUUUUAAUUCUGUUAUGGACAGAUUAAAUUUCUUUUUCACUUACUGAUAUUGGCAAGCAUACACAUGCUCACUCUUUGGAUGGAGAACUCAUAUUAGUUUUGUGGACAAUUGCUUUUUAUUGAAAAUCUGUUUACUCUGUCAGACACUAACUGCUGGAAAUUCAUCACUGACAAAAUGACAUCCUUGCCCUUGUGAAACUUGUUAUAUGAAGUUGACACAGAAUAAGUGAUUUCAAAUUUGAUGUAUCAUCAAGAGAAAAGUUAAAAAAAAAAACAGUUAUAAUGUGCAUAGUGGGGGAACAAACCUCACUUGGAGAUUCAUAGAGGACUCUCUCUUGAUGAAAUGGUCUAAAGACCAGCUUGGCUAUAAUUUUAUUAUUCACAGCAAUAUUGUCCUCUAUUUUCUAACAAUUAACCUUUCUUUCAAGUAUUUGCUUGCUUUCUGUUUUAAAUGGUGCCCAGCUCUUGUCUUCCUUGAAAAGAACAACUGACAUCUCUUACUUUCCCAUGCCCCAAACUAAGAUUUCAUUAUUUCCAGAAUUCCAUGCAAUCUUGACUUCUUUGCUUUCAGUCAUUCACUCACUCAGAGAAGACUCCAGAUUGUCAUGAUUAAAACACCAGAACUAAGAUGUUACACAUGUGCCAACUACUGUAUUUUACUGUUGACUGUAAAUAAUUAAUCCCCCAAUAAAGAAAAGAAAAUAUCCACCAGAAGAGAGGUGUGGAAUGAUAACAUAAAAAUGAAGAUGAGCUCCUUUCUUUUCUACAACAUGCGAAGGACUAUGAGUCUACUCUGUGGGUGGUGGAGAAGCAGAACAGUUUUGGAAUGUAAAUACCAGACAUGAGAAAGAGAAUUGAGAUCUAGCAUUCAUGCAGUGCAUAUUGAGAUUCAUAUGUUAGCUUUACUACUGACCAGUUGUGUGACUAUGGGCCCAAGUUGUGUACCAUCUACCUAGGCAGGGGUCAUGAAAAGUAAAACGACUCAUCCCCACACCUAUGGACAUCAAAUCUUUGAUAAGGGGGCCCAAAGCAUUAAAUGGAAGAAGGAGGCUCUCUUCAAUAAAUGGUGCUAGGAA
This is a long non-coding RNA of Erinaceus europaeus (western European hedgehog), 4318 nucleotides long. RefSeq lists it as uncharacterized. NCBI's taxonomy places the organism in Eukaryota, Metazoa, Chordata, Mammalia, Eulipotyphla, Erinaceidae. The transcript has 3 exons. The record is from RefSeq and is a predicted model, not a curated record.